RNAcentral lists this ribosomal RNA (468 nucleotides) under uncultured bacterium. RNAcentral's name for it is "partial 16S ribosomal RNA". It matches the Rfam family "Bacterial small subunit ribosomal RNA", at positions 28 to 507 of the family's 1533-position model. The record is from RNAcentral.
GACGAACGCUGGCGGCGUGCUUAACACAUGCAAGUCGAACGGAAAGGCCCUGCUUUUGUGGGUUGCUCGAUUGGCGAACGGGGGAGUAACACGUGAGUAACCUGCCCUUGACUUUGGGAGAACUUCACGAAACUGGGGCUAAUACCGGAUAGGAUCUCCUGCUGCAGUGUGGGGGUUGGAAAGUUUCGGCGGUUGGGGAUGGACUCGCGGCUUAUCAGCUUGUUGGUUGGGUAGUGGCUUCCCCAGGCUUUGGCGGGUAGCCGGCCUGAGAGGGUGACCGGCGACAUUGGGACUGAGAGACGGACCAGAGUCCUAUGGGAGGCAGUGGUGGGGAAUAUUGCACAAUGGGAGGAAGUCGGAUGAAGAAACGCCGGGUGCGGAAUGACGGCUUUUGGGUAGUAAACAGCUUUCGCCUGUGACGAAGCGUGAGUGACGGUACUGGGUAAAGAAGCACCGGCUAACUACGUG